UGUUUCGGCUAGGGGGCCAUCCCGGCUUACCAACCCGAUGCAAACUACGAAUACCGAAGAAUGUUAUCACGGGAGACACACGGCGGGUGCUAACGUCCGUCGUGAAGAGGGAAACAACCCAGACCGCCAGCUAAGGUCCCAAAGUCAUGGUUAAGUGGGAAACGAUGUGGGAAGGCACAGACAGCCAGGAUGUUGGCUUAGAAGCAGCCAUCAUUUAAAGAAAGCGUAAUAGCUCACUGGUCGAGUCGGCCUGCGCGGAAGAUGUAACGGGGCUAAACCAUGCACCGAA
Molecule: ribosomal RNA, 289 nt
Filed under: Enterobacter asburiae
Lineage: Bacteria; Pseudomonadati; Pseudomonadota; Gammaproteobacteria; Enterobacterales; Enterobacteriaceae
Description: partial 23S ribosomal RNA
Rfam family: Bacterial large subunit ribosomal RNA
Source: RNAcentral